UGGUCCUUUUAAGCCAAAGGCCACCUAGCCAACUGACGUUGUUAGUGAAUGUUUAUUGUUCACAGUUAUAGAUGCCAAUUGCUUUUUUUGCAAUUGGCUUUUUUCUG
This 107-nucleotide small RNA is filed under the name Vibrio azureus NBRC 104587. RNAcentral's name for it is "Qrr RNA". It matches the Rfam family "Qrr RNA". From Rfam's summary of the family: This family represents a set of small RNAs (the Qrr RNAs) that are thought to be involved in the regulation of quorum sensing in Vibrio species. It is believed that these RNAs, guided by a protein, Hfq, can mediate the destabilisation of the quorum-sensing master regulators LuxR/HapR mRNAs. Lineage: Bacteria; Pseudomonadati; Pseudomonadota; Gammaproteobacteria; Vibrionales; Vibrionaceae. The record is from Rfam by way of RNAcentral.